This is a non-coding RNA of Pelobates cultripes (western spadefoot toad), 692 nucleotides long. The record is from the annotation of a GenBank genome assembly. Lineage: Eukaryota; Metazoa; Chordata; Amphibia; Anura; Pelobatidae.
GUACAGCACAGUGACUGACUGUGGGGUCGCUAUGCCUUCCGGAUUGUGAAUGUGAAAUCCAUCUCGCUUUUUACCUUUUGGCCUCAGUAACUAAAUGCUACAGCACUGCUUCCCAGGAAGGCUUGUUUAAAGCUCCAAACAGGGGAGAACAGAGGACAUGCGCAGUGUUCACCCUCUUCUACACGCACAGGGAGACUGUAGUGGACUGAUCUGGCACUACACCUGCAGCACCACAGCCAGAGGAUAGCUCCACUCUGCACCAACACUCAGGUAACAGAUACACAGCAUCCACCCUUUUUAUUUGUUACAUUGUAUCCUGUAUCCUGUUAGCAGCAUCCCUCGCCACCAUCCUCACCCAUGCCCUCUGAUACUUGAUUGCAGAUCAAGGGCUGCAGGGAUCUCUCUCCAGAAGGGGGGGUUUAAAAAAACAAACAGCACCGUCAAGAUAAAGGCUGCCAGGAGGGAUCCACAUUGUGCGACUUCUGCAAACUUCCGGAUACUUAAGAAGAGAUAGAAAUGGAAACCAAAGGUAAGGGCUGCGUUCUUUUUGGAUACUUAAAGCAUGUGUGCUGUGGGUAGGGAAUAAGGGAGAGACUGCAGUGCAUGGAUGGACUACAGCGUGAUGCUGGGUCGAUAUAGGAGAGUGUAAUAGUGCACAUUGCAGCAUUGCCAGAGGAUAUGUCCUGGAGGAC